UGUUCUAAACCCUAGCCUCCCCUUCCUUCCUCUUCUACAUCAGUCAUCGCCGCCAUCACUGAAUAAGGAUUAAGAUAUCGAUCAACCACUACAGGUAUGUUCUUGAUCUUCAAAUUAACUCCAUGUGUAAGAGUAUGGUGACGGUGGUGGUGGUGGUAGCCUUAAGAGUAACGAAUCUGUAUGUUCUUUGACUCUAUCCUUUUUUUGGUAUGAAAACCCUAACUCGCAUCUUUGAACAAUCGAUGCCAAACCCUCAAGGUAAGUUUGAAAUUAAGUAAUCUACGCCACUGCAUGUGAUUUUCAUUUGAUUUUAAAUGUUCAACGCGGAUUUUAUUCGACACCACGAUGUUUGAUUUACUAACAUUCAUCUACUAUCUGUGUUUGUUCAUGGAUUUGGGGUUUUUGAUGAUUCUCGACUGUUACAACUUGCGUAUCUGUUGAUUAUCUUCUUGGAUUGGUUGAGCAGAGCCACAAACUGGGCUAAAUUCGGUGCAACAGCCGGGUUAGGUGUACCAAUGUGAAGGUGGUUCAGCAUGGUGCUUGCUUAGGCCUUGGCUUGGCAGCUUU
Long non-coding RNA from Helianthus annuus (common sunflower), 567 nucleotides. RefSeq lists it as uncharacterized. The record is from RefSeq and is a predicted model, not a curated record. Lineage: Eukaryota; Viridiplantae; Streptophyta; Magnoliopsida; Asterales; Asteraceae. The transcript has 3 exons.